This 348-nucleotide unclassified non-coding RNA is filed under the name soil metagenome. RNAcentral's name for it is "partial contains 5.8S ribosomal RNA, internal transcribed spacer 2, and large subunit ribosomal RNA". The stretch from base 1 to 120 matches the Rfam family "5.8S ribosomal RNA", at positions 35 to 154 of the family's 154-position model. The record is from RNAcentral.
GAUGAAGAACGCAGCGAAAUGCGAUGAGUAAUGUGAAUUGCAGAAUUCAGUGAAUCAUCGAAUCUUUGAACGCACAUUGCGCUCGCCAGUAUUCUGGCGGGCAUGCCUGUCUGAGCGUCAUUUCAACCCUCAUGCCCCUAGGGCGUGGUGUUGGGGAUCGGCCAAAGCCCGCGAGGGACGGCCGGCCCCUAAAUCUAGUGGCGGACCCGUCGUGGCCUCCUCUGCGAAGUAGUGAUAUUCCGCAUCGGAGAGCGACGAGCCCCUGCCGUUAAACCCCCAACUUUCCAAGGUUGACCUCAGAUCAGGUAGGAAUACCCGCUGAACUUAAGCAUAUCAAUAAGCGGAGGA